This 253-nucleotide unclassified non-coding RNA is filed under the name Exobasidiales sp. RNAcentral's name for it is "partial contains 5.8S ribosomal RNA, internal transcribed spacer 2, and large subunit ribosomal RNA". Lineage: Eukaryota; Fungi; Basidiomycota; Exobasidiomycetes; Exobasidiales. The record is from RNAcentral.
CGCAGCUUGCGCUCCUCGGUAUUCCGAGGAGCAUGCCUUUUUGAGUGUCGUUAAUCUUCUCCAACCAUUUUUUUAUAAAAGAAAAUGCGCGGGUCCUUGGGCUUGCUUGGCCGCCGCGCCAAGCUUGCCUUAAAUAUAUGAGCUGAAGAUCAGUCGGGUUGCUAAGGCAAUUACUAGCCCGCGUAAACGGUCUUCGCUUACUUUUUUUUUUAAUACUGGCCUCAAAUAAGGUAGGACUACCCGCUGAACUUAA